Non-coding RNA from Callithrix jacchus (white-tufted-ear marmoset), 1112 nucleotides. The record is from RefSeq and is a predicted model, not a curated record. Lineage: Eukaryota; Metazoa; Chordata; Mammalia; Primates; Cebidae.
UUAAAGACAGGGGUAGAUGUCAGGAAAGUAGAGGUUACAGGCAAAGUAAUAAAUCAAUGCAUGGAAAUUGCUCAUUGGAUUUGGCCUAACAGGGUGAAACAUCUUGAGGCAGGGGCUUACAGGUCACAGUAGAUUCAAAGAUGCUCCGAUUUGCAGUUUGUUAAGGAAGAGAAGCUUUGUUGAAAAAUUUGAGGUCAGUGGAAAAGAAUUAGCUCUGUCUGUGGGUAUAACUUUAUCCAGGCCCCUCAGGAUGUAAUUUAGAACAAAACAGUGGCCAGAGCUCAGCCCUCACCUCCUCAUUGCCUGGGGUCUCAGCGCCACUGCAUCCAUUUGGCGGGGACCCAGGUUUCUGAACAACAACUCAGGGACAUAUGUUAGAAUGUUAUCUUUAGCUUCCAAACGUCAUGUGAUUCUGGCUUUUUCAGCUGUUAUUUUAAGUUGCCAUUAGCUUCUUGCUUAUCAAGUUGCUUAUUUGUUUCCGAGGACCAGCUAGGUGCCUGGAGUUUCCCUUGAAGGAACUCAAGAUUGUCUUUUACUUUCAUGCGUAGAGGGGCUUUCACGCUUUUCAGUCAUCUUUCCCAACUGAUGGUUAGAAUCCAACAUCCUUUGCUGGCAGCAGAUUGGAAGUUGAAAGUGUCUAUGCUCCAGCCAAAGGCCACUGAGAACUCCGGUAGUGAAAAAGGUUUUGGGGUACACGUGAAGAACAUGCAAGAUUGUUGCAUAGGAACACACGUGGCAGUGUGAUUUGCUGCCUUCCUCCCCUUCACCUAUAUCUGGCAUUUCUCCCCAUGUUCUCUCUCCCCAACUCCCCACCCCCCACUGUCCCUCCCCUAUUUCCCCCCUAAAAACCCCAGUGUGUGAUGCUCCCCUCCCUGUGUCCAUGUGUUCUCAUUGUUCAACACCUGCCUAUAAGUGAGAAUAUGCGGUGUUUGAUUUUCUGUUCUUGUGUCAGUUUGCUGAGGUUCAUCCCUACAAAGGACAUGAACUCAUCAUUUUUGAUGGCUGCAUAAUAUUCCAUGGUGUAUAUGUGCCACAUUUUCCCUGUCCAAUCUAUCAUCGAUGUACAUUUGGGUUGGUUCCAGGUCUUUGCUAUUGUAAACUGCUGCAAUGAA